This 193-nucleotide non-coding RNA is filed under the name Metapseudomonas resinovorans. Lineage: Bacteria; Pseudomonadati; Pseudomonadota; Gammaproteobacteria; Pseudomonadales; Pseudomonadaceae. RNAcentral also lists the same sequence under 1 other name. The record is from RNAcentral.
AUAAUAGCGCCCUUCAUCGGUCGCUGGCGCUCACCUGACGAGCCCCGGCCUAAGAGGGAACACGGUCGAGCCGUGGCUGCCCCCGCAACUGUAAGCAGCGAGUCCAUGCAAUCCAGGCCACUGAAUUUUUCGGGAAGGCCGCACUGGAUGAUGACCUGCCAGCCAGGAGACCUGCCGAUGAAACCAGUCGCGU